GACGAACGCUGGCGGCGUGCUUAACACAUGCAAGUCGAACGAUGAAACCUAGCUUGCUAGGUCGAUUAGUGGCGAACGGGUGAGUAACACGUGACUAACCUGCCCCUUUCUCUGGGAUAACGCUCCGAAAGGAGUGCUAAUACCGGAUACUCACACCGAGGCACAUGCCUUGGUGUGGAAAGUUUUUCGGAAAGGGAUGGAGUCGCGGCCUAUCAGCUUGUUGGUGAGGUAACGGCUCACCAAGGCGACGACGGGUAGCCGGCCUGAGAGGGCGACAGGCCACACUGGGAAGGAGACACGGACCAGACUCCUACGGGAGGCAGCAGUGGGGAAUAUUGCACAAUGGGCGCAAGCCUGAUGCAGCGACGCCGCGUGAGGGAUGAAGGUCUUCGGAUUGUAAACCUCUUUCAGUAGGGACGAAGCGAAAGUGACGGUACCUAAAGAAGAAGCACCGGCUAACUACGUGCCAGCCGCCGCCGUAA
RNAcentral lists this ribosomal RNA (482 nucleotides) under uncultured bacterium. RNAcentral describes it as "partial 16S ribosomal RNA". It matches the Rfam family "Bacterial small subunit ribosomal RNA", at positions 28 to 523 of the family's 1533-position model. The record is from RNAcentral.